AUUGAACGCUGGCGGCAGGCCUAACACAUGCAAGUCGAGCGGCUGCAGGGAGCUUGCUCCUGGAUUCAGCGGCGGACGGGUGAGUAAUGCCUAGGAAUCUGCCUGGUAGUGGGGGAUAACGUCCGGAAACGGGCGCUAAUACCGCAUACGUCCUGAGGGAGAAAGUGGGGGAUCUUCGGACCUCACGCUAUCAGAUGAGCCUAGGUCGGAUUAGCUAGUUGGUGGGGUAAAGGCCUACCAAGGCGACGAUCCGUAACUGGUCUGAGAGGAUGAUCAGUCACACCGGAACUGAGACACGGUCCAGACUCCUACGGGAGGCAGCAGUGGGGAAUAUUGGACAAUGGGCGAAAGCCUGAUCCAGCCAUGCCGCGUGUGUGAAGAAGGUCUUCGGAUUGUAAAGCACUUUAAGUUGGGAGGAAAGGCAGUAAGUUAAUACCUCGCUGUGUUGACGGUACCAACAGAAUAAGCACCGGCUAACUUCGUG
This 484-nucleotide ribosomal RNA is filed under the name uncultured bacterium. Its description in RNAcentral is "partial 16S ribosomal RNA". It matches the Rfam family "Bacterial small subunit ribosomal RNA", at positions 30 to 507 of the family's 1533-position model. The record is from RNAcentral.